This 492-nucleotide ribosomal RNA is filed under the name uncultured bacterium. Its description in RNAcentral is "partial 16S ribosomal RNA". It matches the Rfam family "Bacterial small subunit ribosomal RNA", at positions 29 to 507 of the family's 1533-position model. The record is from RNAcentral.
AGUGAACGCUGGCGGUAGGCCUAACACAUGCAAGUCGAACGGCAGCACAGUAAGAGCUUGCUCUUACGGGUGGCGAGUGGCGGACGGGUGAGGAAUACAUCGGAAUCUACUUUUUCGUGGGGGAUAACGUAGGGAAACUUACGCUAAUACCGCAUCCGACCUACGGGUGAAAGCAGGGGAUCUUCGUACCUUGCGCGAUUGAAUGAGCCGAUGUCGGAUUAGCUAGUUGGCGGGGUAAAGGCCCACCAAGGCGACGAUCCGUAGCUGGUCUGAGAGGAUGAUCAGCCACACUGGAACUGAGACACGGUCCAGACUCCUACGGGAGGCAGCAGUGGGGAAUAUUGGACAAUGGGCGCAAGCCUGAUCCAGCCAUACCGCGUGGGUGAAGAAGGCCUUCGGGUUGUAAAGCCCUUUUGUUGGGAAAGAAAAGCAGCAGGUUAAUACCCCGCUGUUCUGACGGUACCCAAAGAAUAAGCACCGGCUAACUUCGUG